CACCGGCGGCUCGAGUGGUAACCGUUAUUAUUGGGUCUAAAGGGUCUGUAGCCGGCCGGAUAAGUCUCUUGAGAAAUCCAGCAGCUCAACUGUUGGGCUUUCAGGAGAUACUGCUAGGCUUGGGACCGGGAGAGGUGAGAGGUACCUUGGGGGUAGGGGUGAAAUCUUGUAAUCCUUGAAGGACCACCAGUGGCGAAGGCGUCUCACCAGAACGGACCUGACGGCAAGGGACGAAAGCUAGGGGCACGAACCGG
This 254-nucleotide ribosomal RNA is filed under the name uncultured bacterium. RNAcentral describes it as "partial 16S ribosomal RNA". It matches the Rfam family "Archaeal small subunit ribosomal RNA", at positions 474 to 727 of the family's 1478-position model. The record is from RNAcentral.